This 440-nucleotide ribosomal RNA is filed under the name uncultured bacterium. RNAcentral's name for it is "partial 16S ribosomal RNA". It matches the Rfam family "Bacterial small subunit ribosomal RNA", at positions 338 to 795 of the family's 1533-position model. The record is from RNAcentral.
CCUACGGGAGGCAGCAGUGGGGAAUAUUGCACAAUGGGGGAAACCCUGAUGCAGCGACGCCGCGUGAGUGAAGAAGUAUUACGGUAUGUAAAGCUCUAUCAGCAGGGAAGAUUAUUACUGUACCUGACUAAGAAGCCACGGCUAACUACGUGCCAGCAGCCGCGGUAAUACGUAGGGGGCAAGCGUUAUCCGGAUUUACUGGGUGUAAGGGGUUCGUAGGUGGCAGGGCAAGUCAUAUGUGAAAGCCCGGGGCUCAACGCCGGUACUGCCUUUGAAACUGUCCAGCUGGAGUGCAGGAGGGGUGGGAGGAAUUCGUGGUGUAGCGGUGAAAUGCGUAGAUAUUAGAAGGAACACCGGUGGCGAAGGCGGCUUACGGAACUGUAACUGACACUGAGGCACGAAAGCGUGGGGAGCAAACAGGAUUAGAUACCCGUGUAGUC